Molecule: ribosomal RNA, 398 nt
Filed under: uncultured Gammaproteobacteria bacterium
Lineage: Bacteria; Pseudomonadati; Pseudomonadota; Gammaproteobacteria
Description: bacterial SSU rRNA
Rfam family: Bacterial small subunit ribosomal RNA
Source: RNAcentral
GAGUUUGAUCUUGGCUCAGAGUGAACGCUGGCGGCAGGCCUAACACAUGCAAGUCGAGCGGCAGCACGGGUAGCAAUACCUGGUGGCGAGCGGCGGACGGGUGAGGAAUACAUCGGAAUCUGCCUCGUCGUGGGGGAUAACGUAGGGAAACUUACGCUAAUACCGCAUACGACCGAGAGGUGAAAGCGGGGGAUCGCAAGACCUCGCGCGAUGAGAUGAGCCGAUGUCGGAUUAGCUAGUUGGCGGGGUAAAGGCCCACCAAGGCGACGAUCCGUAGCUGGUCUGAGAGGAUGAUCAGCCACACUGGAACUGAGACACGGUCCAGGACUCCUACGGGAGGCAGCAGUGGGGAAUAUUGGACAAUGGGCGCAGGCCUGAUCCAGCCAUGCCGCGUGGUG